RNAcentral lists this small RNA (473 nucleotides) under Pan troglodytes (chimpanzee). Its description in RNAcentral is "processed transcript". The record is from RNAcentral. Lineage: Eukaryota; Metazoa; Chordata; Mammalia; Primates; Hominidae.
GCCGCAAAGUCCAUCCCUGCCCGCCCUCCCCUCCCCUUGCGAGUGGUCCCGCUUACCCUUCACUGCCAUCAUCGCCCUGCCUUUCCCAGUCCUGCUGGCUGCGCUCAGUCUUUAGGUGGUAGCAGGCCAGGUACAGCGGACACUUGCUGAUGGGGGAUUCCAGGAGGUGGGAUUUCAAGGAAUAGGAGCUCGGUGAAUUCAAGGACCAUGCUUGCUUCGUUCAUUGUAUCUUCAGCACCUAGCACAGCACCCAGCACAUAGGACAUGUUUGUUGACUGAAUGCGUAUCUCUGUCAUCACACUCACUCCAUGGUGUUGAGAUAUUUGUGUUUCCCCUUCCCUAGACAGUGAGAUCCUUGAAGGCAGCUGCCUUAUCUUAUUCCUUUUUGUAUUUCCAUACCUAGCCUAAUACCUAGCUUAUAUAAGGGAACAGAAUAAAUGAACAAUAAAGAAAAGUCUUUACAGCCUCUAAAA